GAGCCUACGGGACGCAGCAGUGGGGAAUAUUGCACAAUGGGGGAAACCCUGAUGCAGCAACGCCGCGUGAGUGAAGAAGUAUUUCGGUAUGUAAAGCUCUAUCAGCAGGGAAGAAGAUGACGGUACCUGAGUAAGAAGCCCCGGCUAACUACGUGCCAGCAGCCGCGGUAAUACGUAGGGGGCAAGCGUUAUCCGGAUUUACUGGGUGUAAAGGGAGCGUAGACGGUGAGACAAGUCUGAAGUGAAAGCCCGGGGCUCA
This 259-nucleotide ribosomal RNA is filed under the name uncultured bacterium. RNAcentral's name for it is "partial 16S ribosomal RNA". It matches the Rfam family "Bacterial small subunit ribosomal RNA", at positions 334 to 611 of the family's 1533-position model. The record is from RNAcentral.